This 178-nucleotide non-coding RNA is filed under the name Pseudomonadales bacterium. Its description in RNAcentral is "6S RNA". It matches the Rfam family "6S / SsrS RNA". From Rfam's summary of the family: E. coli 6S RNA was the first non coding RNA to be sequenced, but its function was unknown until recently. It consists of 184 nucleotides that fold into an extended hairpin structure with a large single-stranded internal bulge. RNAcentral also lists the same sequence under 1 other name. Lineage: Bacteria; Pseudomonadati; Pseudomonadota; Gammaproteobacteria; Pseudomonadales. The record is from RNAcentral.
AGCUCCCUGGGUUGCUAGCCAGUCGAUAUGUCCUCGACCCUUUAUGCGAAACUUAGGAGGUCUUUUUUGCUGGUUGAUGUGCAUGUCUGUUCUUCAGAACGCCUAAUACUGCUUGGAGACCACCGCCUUGAACCGCAGGGUUCAAGGGCCUGUCCGACAGCGACAAUUUGGGGAGCCU